AGUGAACGCUGGCGGUAGGCCUAACACAUGCAAGUCGAACGGCAGCACAGUAAGAGCUUGCUCUUACGGGUGGCGAGUGGCGGACGGGUGAGGAAUACAUCGGAAUCUACUUUUUCGUGGGGGAUAACGUAGGGAAACUUACGCUAAUACCGCAUACGACCUACGGGUGAAAGCAGGGGAUCUUCGGACCUUGCGCGAUUGAAUGAGCCGAUGUCGGAUUAGCUAGUUGGCGGGGUAAAGGCCCACCAAGGCGACGAUCCGUAGCUGGUCUGAGAGGAUGAUCAGCCACACUGGAACUGAGACACGGUCCAGACUCCUACGGGAGGCAGCAGUGGGGAAUAUUGGACAAUGGGCGCAAGCCUGAUCCAGCCAUACCGCGUGGGUGAAGAAGGCCUUCGGGUUGUAAAGCCCUUUUGUUGGGAAAGAAAAGCAGCAGGUUAAUACCCCGCUGUUCUGACGGUACCAGAAGAAUAAGCACCGGCUAACUUCGUG
Molecule: ribosomal RNA, 492 nt
Filed under: uncultured bacterium
Lineage: Bacteria
Description: partial 16S ribosomal RNA
Rfam family: Bacterial small subunit ribosomal RNA
Source: RNAcentral